Mus musculus (house mouse) is the source of this 100-nucleotide non-coding RNA. NCBI's taxonomy places the organism in Eukaryota, Metazoa, Chordata, Mammalia, Rodentia, Muridae. The record is from Rfam.
AGGUUUCCUUCUAGUAUUUUCUGUAGGUCAGAGAUGAGAGCCUAUAUCUAUCCUCAAUGUUCUGACCUGGAAACAUAUAAAUGUUUAGUAGUCUAACACC